GAUGAACGCUAGCGGCAGGCUUAACACAUGCAAGUCGAGGGGCAGCAUGAGACGGAGAUUCGUCGAAGUCUUGAUGGCGACCGGCGCACGGGUGCGUAACGCGUAUGCAACCUACCCAUAACAGGGGGAUAACACUGAGAAAUUGGUACUAAUACCCCGUAACAUCAUUUGAGGCAUCUCAGAUGGUUGAAAGUUCCGGCGGUUAUGGAUGGGCAUGCGUUGUAUUAGCUAGUUGGUGGGGUAACGGCUCACCAAGGCGACGAUACAUAGGGGGACUGAGAGGUUAACCCCCCACAUUGGUACUGAGACACGGUCCAGACUCCUACGGGAGGCAGCAGUGAGGAAUAUUGGUCAAUGGUCGAGAGACUGAACCAGCCAAGUAGCGUGAAGGAUGACUGCCCUACGGGUUGUAAACUUCUUUUGUUGGAAUAAAUGAUGCUACGUGUAGUAUUUUGCAUGUACCUUACGAAUAAGCAUCGGCUAAUUCCGUG
Molecule: ribosomal RNA, 491 nt
Filed under: uncultured bacterium
Lineage: Bacteria
Description: bacterial SSU rRNA
Rfam family: Bacterial small subunit ribosomal RNA
Source: RNAcentral